GGUAUAAAAGGGCAAGGCAUCCAACACUUCUCCAACAUCCUCACUUGAUCUCCAUCGUUCAGAAGUCCAAAUCCAACUCCUUCUCCAAGCAACAUGAGCAUCUUCAAGCACCAAUCCCAGUGUGACCCAGGUUAUUGCAGACCCACCUCCUCCAGCAGCUGCCAUGGAGGCUCUGGGCAUGGCUACAGCUCUGGAAGUUGUUAUGGAGGCUCUGGGCAUGGCUACAGCUCUGGAAGUUGUUAUGGAGGCUCUGGGCGCAGAACCCGCUAUAGUUCUGGAAGCUGCUAUGGUGGCUAUGGGCAAGGAGGUUACGGGCGAGGCUACAGCUAUGGCAGUGGUUGCUAUCAGCCACUGAGCUAUGGUGGUUUUGGUUCCAGAGGCUGGGGCUAUGGUGGUCAGGGUUGCGGACGUAUUUGCUACCAGCCAAUAAGUUCUGGCAGCUGGGGUUACGGUGGCCGUGGUUGGUACCCACAAGGCGGAUAUGGUGGCUUGGGCUAUGGUGGGUACGGAUAUGGGGGCUGUGGUUAUGGGGGCCUCUAUGGCCGUGGCUCUAGCUGCUAUCAGCCAUGCUAUGGCUAUGGAUCCAGGCGUGGAAGCUUCUCUUACCCCAUCGUCCGAAGGAACAGCAUCUGUGGACCCUGUGGACCCUGCUAAGCCCUGGAGAGGACCUUCUAGUGGAACGUGAAGAACCAAUGCAGGCGCAACAAAUGCAUCAUUAAGCUUUGCCGGGCUCUGCUUUCGGAAAUGCUGAGCCCUGAAGAAUCCCAGCAGGAAUCAGUGGGUACGCAGCACUUCUGCAAACCAAUCCUGUACCUGCCUCUGUUAAACUGCUCUUUACUUGCUCCGGACUGUUGUCUCUAUAAAGGCAGAUCUAACGAUUUAUGCUGUGGCCACUUAUUGUGAUAUAGAUAUAUUUUGUCUCCAAUGUGACAAUAGAAACAUCAUUUAGGUCUCUGCCUAUGUCCUUUCACUCAGAUCAAAGCCAACGGUUUUGCAAUGAUACAAUCCAGUUUAUGAUCCCAAAUUUCAAACGCCAACAAUAAUAACCAACCCAAUAAAUAAAAGCUUGCUUUGCAUCAUAA
Long non-coding RNA from Zootoca vivipara (common lizard), 1082 nucleotides. RefSeq lists it as uncharacterized. The record is from RefSeq and is a predicted model, not a curated record. Lineage: Eukaryota; Metazoa; Chordata; Lepidosauria; Squamata; Lacertidae.